GACGAACGCUGGCGGCGUGCUUAACACAUGCAAGUCGAACGGAAAGGCCCUGCUUUUGUGGGGUGCUCGAGUGGCGAACGGGUGAGUAACACGUGAGUAACCUGCCCUUGACUUUGGGAUAACUUCAGGAAACUGGGGCUAAUACCGGAUAGGAGCUCCUGCUGCAUGGUGGGGGUUGGAAAGUUUCGGCGGUUGGGGAUGGACUCGCGGCUUAUCAGCUUGUUGGUGGGGUAGUGGCUAACCAAGGCUUUGCCGGUUAGCCGGCCGGAGAGGGUGACCGACCACCUAGGGAUGGACUAAGGCCCGGAACACACUCGGGCGGGAGGGAGGGGAAUGUUGCACAAUGGGCGGAAGCCUGAUGCAGCACAGCCGCGUGCGGGAUGACGGGCUUCGGGUUGUAAACCGCUUUCGCCUGUGACGAAGCGUGAGUGACGGUAAUGGGUAAAGAAGCACCGGCUAACUACGUG
This 467-nucleotide ribosomal RNA is filed under the name uncultured bacterium. RNAcentral describes it as "partial 16S ribosomal RNA". It matches the Rfam family "Bacterial small subunit ribosomal RNA", at positions 28 to 507 of the family's 1533-position model. The record is from RNAcentral.